AGAAUGAGGUUGAGCCAAGGAUGACUUGCCGAUUUCUUUACCAAUGAAUCUAAAAUGAUUAAUUUUGGUGUUCGGCAAGUUGACCUUGGCUCUGUUUCCUUCUCU
Molecule: microRNA precursor, 105 nt
Organism: Eutrema salsugineum
Lineage: Eukaryota; Viridiplantae; Streptophyta; Magnoliopsida; Brassicales; Brassicaceae
Source: Rfam